Molecule: ribosomal RNA, 497 nt
Filed under: uncultured bacterium
Lineage: Bacteria
Description: partial 16S ribosomal RNA
Rfam family: Bacterial small subunit ribosomal RNA
Source: RNAcentral
GAUGAACGCUGGCGGCGUGCCUAAUACAUGCAAGUCGAGCGAACAGACGAGGAGCUUGCUCCUCUGACGUUAGCGGCGGACGGGUGAGUAACACGUGGAUAACCUACCUAUAAGACUGGGAUAACUUCGGGAAACCGGAGCUAAUACCGGAUAAUAUAUUGAACCGCAUGGUUCAAUAGUGAAAGACGGUUUUGCUGUCACUUAUAGAUGGAUCCGCGCCGCAUUAGCUAGUUGGUAAGGUAACGGCUUACCAAGGCAACGAUGCAUAGCCGACCUGAGAGGGUGAUCGGCCACACGGGAACUGAGACACGGUCCAGACUCCUACGGGAGGCAGCAGUAGGGCAUCUUCCGCAAUGGGCGAAAGCCUGACGGAGCAAAGCCGCGUGAGUGAUGAAGGUCUUCGGCUCGUAAAACUCUGUUAUUAGGGAAGAACAAAUGUGUAAGUAACUAUGCACGUCUUGACGGUACCUAAUCAGAAAGCCACGGCUAACUACGUG